This 61-nucleotide transfer RNA is filed under the name Carios vespertilionis. RNAcentral describes it as "tRNA-Phe". The record is from RNAcentral. Lineage: Eukaryota; Metazoa; Arthropoda; Arachnida; Ixodida; Argasidae.
CUUUUAUAGUUUAUAUGUAAAAUAUAACACUGAAAAUGUUAUGAUAUUUUUUUAAAAGUAA